Long non-coding RNA from Spinacia oleracea (spinach), 4869 nucleotides. RefSeq lists it as uncharacterized. The record is from RefSeq and is a predicted model, not a curated record. The transcript has 3 exons. NCBI's taxonomy places the organism in Eukaryota, Viridiplantae, Streptophyta, Magnoliopsida, Caryophyllales, Amaranthaceae.
ACAAACCCAAAAAUCAGAAAAAUAGCUCCAAGACUUUGAAUUACAAAUUUUCUCUUAUUAUAAGUCUAAGUCAACAACUAGAAGAACCAAAGUCUUCUUCUUCAUCUUCCUUGUCGUAUGUACCUGCACACUUGGCAAACACCAUGUUUGCCAGAUAAUAAAACUUUUGACUCCUCCUUCACCAAUUUAAGCCAACACACAACCCAUGAGAGCCAUUGUAUUUCAAUUCUACUGGUUUUACCCACUGGUUCUCCUUCUCCUCUCUAUGUCCAUUGUUUUCCGAUAAAACCACCAAUAAUAGCUCAUGGAUGACGUUUUUACACCCCUCUAAAGAUCUAUAAAUAGCUUACUGAUUCACCAAUUCAAUUCGCAACCAAAACUAACAUCUUAUUCCAUUAUCACCAUUAGAAAGGGUGAAGUUUUCUUACUUUAUUAAUCUGAUUUGCUCUUGAGCCACCACCAUCGCAGCCGCCCCUUUCUCGGUCUUUGUUUACCACCGGAAACCACCAACAAGAAACACCAAUUUAAUGGAGACCACAAAAACGACCACCCACGUCAACCCUUGCCGCCUUCUCGGUCUUCAUUGCAUCUAACCCCCCUGCCUUUCUCUCACUUCUCCGCCCCAGCCAACAACCACCAGUGUCGGCCUUCGUCGGUGUUUUGCUCCGUUGUUCACCGCCGGUCGUGGGUCAUACCCAGUUGCCGCCUCUCUUCCUCCUCCCUCUCUUGUCUUCUGAUCCCCUCUGAUCCGUGUUCUGUUCGUGAAGACCAGGUUGGUCUUUGAAACUUUUUCCCCCAAUUGGAGUUAUAUGGUACAACUGUACUGUAUGAUGCACCUAAAUUACAAAAGUCAACUUUGUUCCUUUUACCCACCAAAAUCAAAUUGAUAUUAUCAGUUUUCGAAGCUCGGGAAGAACGGUCCAUCAAACGGGAAGUAUAAAACUACGGUUGAGGUACGAAGAAGAUAAUGGGAUGCCUUAGAGUGAGGAUGCAACCAUCAAAUUCACGAUCGAUGUUUAGUAAAGAUAACUAUGUCUCACUAGUAAUAAUGGAUGUAUUAACUAAAUUCUAAGUUUAAUUUCAAGUAUUGAGUUAGAUUUUAAUAUUAAUGUUUAAUCAAUGCUAGAAGUCGUUAUUAUUAAAGUUUAUUUAGUAAUUUAAAAAGAUUAAGUCGCCUUGUAUUUCCCACGAGGGAGAUACGGCAUGUGACGCUCCAACUAAAUUAGGGUUUCCGCUGCUAAUUAAAGAUAAUUAACCUAAUUAAUAGUGUUUAGAAGUCGGGGCGUUACAGUUUGGUAUCAGAGCCAAGGUUCUGCGACCAUAAGUGCUAAACCUUACGGGUUUUGCAUGAAAUAAAAUUCAUUCGGCUUUAAGCAGGAAUUUUAAGGAAUAAGUUAAAAAGAAUAUGUUAAAAUCAACUUAAGUUAAAAUGGAAUGAGUGUGAGCGUAGGAACGGGAUUAAAGGGAUUCAUUUCUCCUGUUAUUUAUGUUUUCUUGAUUGAAUAUGUUAUGCGAAAUAUCGAUUAUCGUUGGUACUAACGAUGCCACGAACGAAGCUCACAACAUGUGCAACAUUCACGAUGACGCCACCACUAGUAUUAUUUUAAUUUAUCUCUAUCUCGCUUUGGAUCCGAACUUCCCUUGUUUUCAUGUUUAACAUGUCAUGUUAUGAGUUCCUACCAUAGAUAGACUAGGAAAAGUUUAAGCAUUACUGUUUUCUUGGAAGAAGUUAAGUUAAGCACGGUGCGAACACAAAGAUUUUGUGGAUAUGAAUUGUUUUGAGGAAUUUUUAUGGUUGUAAUCUUUAAGGGUAGUAUAAAUGUUUAAGUACCAAACGAGCAUAAGGUUGUAUUUCAUGAGUGCUGGAUCGCUAAUUAAGUUGAGGUUAUUCUAGGUUUAAAGUACGUAUUCAAGUUAUGAAUGAAAUUGAUUCUAGGGUUACCUUCCCGUAUUAUUCAUGAUGAAUAUUUAGGUGUUUAUAAGUACAAAAGUCUAUUAUCUAAAAGAAGACCGAUAUGCCUCUAUUUAGGAAGUUAAGAAGUUAUACAGAAAUGUUAUGAACCCAACAUAAGUUAUGAUAAAAGACCCAUUUGAGUUGACGCAUGAAUAAGAUCUUGAGGAUUUUACCAAAAGAAGUUACCAAGAAAAGUAUGUCAAUAAGGCUGAAUGAUAGAGUGCUGAAAGAGCAUGAGUUUGUAUUUUAUAAGUGGCGAAUCACCAAUUAAAUCAAGGGUAUUCAAAGUUUAAAGCGUUCAAGUUAUGAUUGAUUUUUGAGUUACCUUCCCGCACCCUUCACGAUAAUUAUUUUUGUGCUUGCAAGUACCUAAGUGUAUUUUCAGAUAUGUUAAGGAAGCUAAACUAGGAAUUUUCAAAGUUAUGCAAGACUAUUAUGCGAAACCAAACACGAUUUAUGGUGAAAACAUGAAAUUGAGUUGCAUAUAAAGCUUUGAGGAUUCUACCAAAAUGAGUUAUCAAGAAUUAGUCUGUCUAUCACUACUACAAAAAUGGGCAAAGAGACCCGUCCAAAACGGCAUAAGAUACCUCCUCUAAGGGGGUCUCUAGAUGGGGGGGUCUCUUUUUAAAAGAGACCCCCUCUUAGAAAUGGGGUCUGUUUGUUAAAAGUUGGAGACCCUUCAUGUAAGAAAAGGGGUCUCUUACGUAGGCCUUUAGGAAAAUAUUUUAGAAGAGAAAGAGACCCCAUAUGUAAGAUAUGGGGUCUGUUUAUUAAAAAUAUUCAGACCCAAUAUGUAAGAUAUGGGGUCUCUUUGAUUUUUUUAUUAAUUUAUUUUUUAAUAACCUCAGACCCCAUAUGUAAGAUAUGGGGUCUCUUUGAUUUUUUUUAUUAAUUUCUUUUCUAAUAACCUCAGACCCCAUAUGUAAGAUAUGGGGUCUCUUUGAACUUUUUAGUAUUAUACCUAAAGAGCCCUUUUUACGAAUAACGGGUCUCCUUUUCAUGUUUUUUUUUUUUAAAAAAAAUGUUAAUUCAGUACCUGCUGCUGUAAUAUUUUUUUAAUAAUUCAACAAUUGUAAUUUGUAAACCUGCUGUAAUCUUUACAUGCUAAUAACCUGUAAUUUUUCAUUCACCGAUUGUAUUAAACCACCUGCUGCUGUAAUAUUUUAUAAUAAUUCAAUAAACAUUUCUUAAUAGUCCAUAUUACCAAAAAAAAAUAUUUACCAAAAGUAAUGCUCAAAACGCAACUUUACAUUAAUUUGUAAUUUCCAAAUUAAAAACGUAAAACAAAACGUACGUUCUAAAAUCUAAUCAUAUAUUUACACCGAUUUGCCAAUCAAAACUCACGGAGUUAUUUCUAUACCAUCAUCUUUGUUUUCUUCAUUUGCUUCUGGCUUGAGAAAAUACUCGACCCACAUGUCUCUAACUUCAUCAACAUUUUCCGAUGAAUAGGUUUCGUGAGAAAACUGUAAAUAAGUAACAUAAUUAGUAUUUUAGUAAACGCAUAGUUGUAGCAAAUGCAUAGUUCAUUAUAGGAAAGAAAAUGAAACUGCUACAACAAUUCAUAACAGAAGCCUAGUAUUCUUUAUCGUGUAUGAAUGUAAGUACGAAGGUAUUAUAUCAAGGCAAUCUAACUAGCUAAGACCUGCCCAGCUACGCUUCUUAGGUAAUGAUAAUGGAAUGGUACAAGUAACUAUAUUAGGCAGGUUAAGCUAAAUGAAAAUCUAAAAUUGGAAAUAAAUGGCAUAAACAAGGUAAAUGGUGCAGUUCAGGAAAUGGUAUAGAGGUCAAAGAAUAAAUAGUUUUCCAGUUACAAAUACUAACUAAUACCAAUUUGAGAUUAAACAAAAGAUACCAGGUUCUAAGCUUAACCAAUCCGGCCAUCUGCCAAUAGUUCGGCUCACGGGCAAAUACCAGAUGCAGAAAUGCAGAUUUACAAGCAAAACUAAAAUCAUGCCAGAAUAAUCAGCAAAUAUGCCAACAAGGUGACACGAUCCUUCAGAAAAUACGAUUAAAGAGUAUAAUUUAAAUUCGUCUCUAAACUCCUACCAAAAUUUUAACCUGGGACAUCCCACAACACACUUUAGUGAUGUUCCCAGAAUAGAGAGUAAAAAUGGAAAGACAACAAACAGUGACUUGCCCAAAUCUGGACAGACAAAACAUCUUACCUCAAAGCAAAAACACCAGAUGUACUGAAAUGAUCUAUGAAAUAACUAACUAACUAACUUUACCAGCUGUACUGAAAUGAUCUAUGAAACUAACUAACUAACUGACUUUACCAGCUAGGACAGAGUUUGCAGACUGCAAGAUGUUCACAGCAAAUUUUUUUGCUCGAAUGCUAGGCUCUUGCUCGAGCUUAGAUCAGGAAAUGUUUAUCAGGACUGCUCCUGACUAUAUAUAAGAAAAAAGUAUCUAAGGUCCUUAAUCAUACAUCUUUCGCUUUUUUGGGUUUGAUUAGAUACGUAUAUGUCAAUCGGAUAAUGAUUUUGCGUUUGAUAUUAAUCUCAGAAGUUUGUUUUGUAAUAAACCACUUCUAUACAGUAUUAGUCAAUGCGCGCUUGAGUUUCAAAACCCUCAAUCAUUGACACUAUUAAUCAACUGUUAAUCUGCGUUUUGUCUGAUCUCUUUUGCUUGUCCGCUCUGUAAUCAGAGUUCUCAACCUAAUUGAUCCCAGCACAUUUCUAGUUCUCUUCUUUUCUCUGGUAUCCUAUUAUUUACAGCUCUGUAAAAGCUAACUGUGAUUGGAAAUUGAAGCAACAGAGAACGGUUUUACCUUUAUAUCUAUUUGUAACUUUGUAAGGAUAGCCAUCUAGUACGGAGUAAGUAAAUUUCCAGAUAAAAUAAAGGAUAGAUUUAGAUUUAGGCAUCUGAGAAUAAAUGUGUAAAAAUUUUCCGAAUUUGAGAGGUAUUUCAUCUGU